AAACCGGAGGGAAGGUGGGGAUGACGUCAAAUCAUCAUGCCCCUUAUGACCUGGGCUACACACGUGCUACAAUGGAUGGUACAAAGGGCUGCAAGACCGCGAGGUCAAGCCAAUCCCAUAAAACCAUUCUCAGUUCGGAUUGUAGGCUGCAACUCGCCUACAUGAAGCUGGAAUCGCUAGUAAUCGCGGAUCAGCAUGCCGCGGUGAAUACGUUCCCGGGCCUUGUACACACCGCCCGUCACACCACGAGAGUUUGUAACACCCGAAGUCGGUGGAGUAACCGUAAGGAGCUAGCCGCCUAAGGUGGGACAGAUGAUUGGGGUGAAGUCGUAACAAG
RNAcentral lists this ribosomal RNA (337 nucleotides) under Priestia sp. RNAcentral's name for it is "bacterial SSU rRNA". It matches the Rfam family "Bacterial small subunit ribosomal RNA", at positions 1159 to 1495 of the family's 1533-position model. The record is from RNAcentral. Lineage: Bacteria; Bacillati; Bacillota; Bacilli; Caryophanales; Bacillaceae.